Anser brachyrhynchus (Pink-footed goose) is the source of this 1032-nucleotide long non-coding RNA. The record is from Ensembl. Lineage: Eukaryota; Metazoa; Chordata; Aves; Anseriformes; Anatidae.
GUAUCAGGAGUCUGGGAAGCAAAGCCCUGCCUUGGCCAGAUGCAACCCCCUGGUAACAAGGCACAGAAAACAAGCUCAUCCUCUGGCAAGAAAAAUGGAGCAUCCCGUGGAAUCACACUGUUAAUUGCAACCAACAAAGCAGGAUGGUGGUCACUCUGGAACUGCUCACAGACAGAAAGAUUUGGCUAUGUUUGCACCGUGCAUGGCCACUUCCCGACAGCAUUAGUGGAAACUGCCUUUCCCCGGUGACCUUGCUGCUAAGCUGGAGACUGCCAGGGACUGUCACCUCCAAUGACACUGCUCAGAGGGUCCUUGUCAGAACAAUUACCACUGCAUUUCCCUGGUGCCUGCUCAGGUUCACUGGCUGCACUCCGGAGAGUGAAAAGGCAACUACUCUUACCCCUCAUUUAACUAAACCAUGCCGAGAGAGAAAGAAGUGCCUCUCCUCUCUCCUCCCUGCUGUGACCGGUGGCCGAAGGGCAGGGAACACCUUGGGCAGCAGGGAUUCCCCAAGUGGAUGGCUGUCAAAGAUUUUAAUAUACUGCAGGCACAGCAGCUAAUUCUCAAAUCUCUUGCAGAAGGAUUUUACAGAGGGAAGCUAGGAUGCAAAUCCUUUUGAAGGCUUUUUCCAUUUUGAAACCUAUAAAUAGGAAAGUAGGGCAAAAUGACUUUGACAAGUUUAGACCUCACCUUCUUUAAUUACUCUCUUUGGAUCAACAACCUGACUGCAAAUGCUUAUCUGCUCCAACAUUACGCACAGGUUUGGAGUUUAUUUUUUAAAAGCAGUGCAUGACAGUUCUGCAUAAUAUUUUUAAUACCCUUGGCCACCAGAGAUUUCCAUAUUCCAGUCAAUCUUUAAAUUUAUAAUUGAUAUAAAUAGUGAACCAGGCUGAUUGCCUAUAUUGUCGUUUCAGUGCAAAAAGUCUGUCCAUUUAUUGUUCUUUAUGAAUGUAAAUUUUUGUGCUGCUGCCUUUUUUGCAUUUCUUCUUCCUUCUUAAUAAAUGUGAAAAUUUAAAUGAUUGUCUUGUUACC